This is a long non-coding RNA of Acanthochromis polyacanthus (spiny chromis), 301 nucleotides long. RefSeq lists it as uncharacterized. The transcript has 3 exons. The record is from RefSeq and is a predicted model, not a curated record. NCBI's taxonomy places the organism in Eukaryota, Metazoa, Chordata, Actinopteri, Pomacentridae.
GCGUGUCGUGUGUGUGUCGUCCUCAGGUGUGUGUGCGUCGUCCUCAGGUGUGUGUGUGUCGUCCUCAGGUGUGUGUGUCGUCCUCAGGUGUGUGUGUGUCGUCCUCAGGUGUGUGUGUGUCGUCCUCAGGUGUGUGUGUCGUCCUCAGGUGUGUGUGUGUCGUCCUCAGGUGUGUGUGUGUCGUCCUCAGGUGUGUGUGUGUCGUCCUCAGGUGUGUGUGCGUCGUCCUCAGGUGUGUGUGCGUCGUCCUCAGGUGUGUGUGCGUCGUCCUCAGGUGUGUGUGUGUCGUCCUCAGGUGUGU